RNAcentral lists this ribosomal RNA (1324 nucleotides) under uncultured bacterium. RNAcentral's name for it is "bacterial SSU rRNA". It matches the Rfam family "Bacterial small subunit ribosomal RNA", at positions 81 to 1399 of the family's 1533-position model. The record is from RNAcentral.
CUUUUCACGCCCUAGUGGCGGACGGGUGAGUAACGCGUGGGUAACCUGCCAUAUACAGGGGGAUAACACUUAGAAAUAGGUGCUAAUACCGCAUAAGCGCACAGGGGCGCAUGCCCCGGUGUGAAAAACUCCGGUGGUAUAUGAUGGACCCGCGUCUGAUUAGCCAGUUGGCAGGGUAACGGCCUACCAAAGCGACGAUCAGUAGCCGGCCUGAGAGGGCGGACGGCCACAUUGGGACUGAGACACGGCCCAAACUCCUACGGGAGGCAGCAGUGGGGGAUAUUGCACAAUGGACGAAAGUCUGAUGGAGCAACGCCGCGUGAGUGAAGAAGGGUUUCGGCUCGUAAAGCUCUGUUGGUAGUGAAGAAAGAUAGAGGUAGUAACUGGCCUUUAUUUGACGGUAAUUACUUAGAAAGUCACGGCUAACAACGUGCCAGCAGCCGCGGUAAUACGUAGGUGGCAAGCGUUGUCCGGAUUUAUUGGGCGUAAAGCGAGUGCAGGCGGUUCAAUAAGUCUGAUGUGAAAGCCUUCGGCUCAACCGGAGAAUUGCAUCAGAAACUGUUGAACUUGAGUGCAGAAGAGGAGAGUGGAACUCCAUGUGUAGCGGUGGAAUGCGUAGAUAUAUGGAAGAACACCAGUGGCGAAGGCGGCUCUCUGGUCUGCAACUGACGCUGAGGCUCGAAAGCAUGGGUAGCGAACAGGAUUAGAUACCCUGGUAGUCCAUGCCGUAAACGAUGAGUGCUAAGUGUUGGGAGGUUUCCGCCUCUCAGUGCUGCAGCUAACGCAUUAAGCACUCCGCCUGGGGAGUACGACCGCAAGGUUGAAACUCAAAGGAAUUGACGGGGGCCCGCACAAGCGGUGGAGCAUGUGGUUUAAUUCGAAGCUACGCGAAGAACCUUACCAGGUCUUGACAUCUUGCGCUAACCUUAGAGAUAAGGCGUUCCCUUCGGGGACGCAAUGACAGGUGGUGCAUGGUCGUCGUCAGCUCGUGUCGUGAGAUGUUGGGUUAAGUCCCGCAACGAGCGCAACCCUUGUUACUAGUUGCCAGCAUUAAGUUGGGCACUCUAGUGAGACUGCCGGUGACAAACCGGAGGAAGGUGGGGACGACGUCAGAUCAUCAUGCCCCUUAUGACCUGGGCUACACACGUGCUACAAUGGACGGUACAACGAGUCGCAAGCUCGCGAGAGUAAGCUAAUCUCUUAAAGCCGUUCUCAGUUCGGACUGUAGGCUGCAACUCGCCUACACGAAGUCGGAAUCGCUAGUAAUCGCGGAUCAGCAUGCCGCGGUGAAUACGUUCCCGGGCCUUGUACACACCGCCCGUCA